This 305-nucleotide ribosomal RNA is filed under the name uncultured bacterium. RNAcentral describes it as "bacterial SSU rRNA". It matches the Rfam family "Bacterial small subunit ribosomal RNA", at positions 334 to 655 of the family's 1533-position model. The record is from RNAcentral.
UUUUCCUACGGGGGGCAGCGGUGGGGAAUAUUGCACAAUGGGGGAAACCCUGAUGCAGCGACGCCGCGUGAAGGAAGAAGUAUCUCGGUAUGUAAACUUCUAUCGGCAGGGAAGAAAACGGACGGUACCUGACUAAGAAGCCCCGGCUAACUACGUGCCAGCAGCCGCGGUAAUACGUAGGGGGCGAGCGUUAUCCGGAUUUACUGGGUGUAAAGGGAGCGUAGACGGCUGGGCAAGCCUGAUGUGAAAGGCGGGGGCGCAACCCUCGGACUGCAUUGGGAACUGUCCGGCUAGAGCGCCGGAGG